CCCGGCGGGAGGCGCGGGGAGCCCCGGGGCGGCCGGGCUGCGGCAUCUCCGCGGGCGCGGGGAGAAGGCUCCGGAGCGGGGCGCGGCCUCGCGCCCACCGCUACCCCGCCGGGGGGAGGGGGGCGCGCCCGUGUGUGUGAGUGUGAGUGAGUGUGAGUGAGUGUGAGCGUGUCCCCGUCCUGCAGCCUCCAGGGCUCUUCCCUGGCCUCACCCCGCCCCCCGCGCUCCCUUCCCGCCCGGCACCGUCUGCGAACGUUUCCGAGAAGUCCCUGUGGCGGUUUGGUGGGAAGCGGGGGGAGGGCCCCAGGCCCGAGGGCACAGGCCGGGCCGGGGUCUGCGGGGCCCGGAGGAUUCGGGCUGCGAAUCGGUUCCUUCUCCCAGGCUUUGCCCAAGGAGACCGGAGAGGUGUGCGGAGGAGUCAGUGGCCGCGGCUGCAGGGGGAGACGUAGGUAGGGGAGAGGCUGCCUUCGCAGACCUGGACCCGCGCGUCUGGAUCCAUCGUCGGUCAUAGAGGUUCCAAGUUUAGAGCUGGGCUCUCCACUGAAGGGUGAACUUGGUCACUUGAGAUAAUUCUUAAUGCCACAUCACAGCCACCUCAUCUUCUCUUCCGUGAUUGGUCGCGUAGAAGAGUUCAACUGUACUAAGAGUGAGAGCCCUUUUUUUUUUAUUACACUUAAUCAAUGCUGCUUUCUCUUUUUUGACACCUUCAAGUCCCUCCUCAACUAAAUUGUCCAGUGCAGUCACAGUGAAGUAAAAUGAGCUCAAUCAACCCUUUGUCUUAAAGCUCCCUGACAUCUGAUCUCAUUUCCAUCAGGAGAUAAUCCAUAUGAUAUUCAGAAUAAUUAUAAGACAGGCACCUUUGGUGGGUUGUCAUAUAGCACCACCCAGAAAACAGCACUUGGGAUAGUAAUGAAAUAUUGGGCUGGGUAACCCAUUAGUAUAAUGAAGUGUAGCAGUUUUUACUAGUGGAGAAAAAAAGUAUGUUGCAUCAGUGUGUUAGGAAAGAGAUUUGGUAUCCCUUUUCCUCUGCCACUAAGAAAAUAAUGAAUAACCUAC
This 1056-nucleotide long non-coding RNA is filed under the name Canis lupus familiaris (dog). Its description in RNAcentral is "lncRNA (ENSCAFG00845018148.1)". The record is from RNAcentral. Lineage: Eukaryota; Metazoa; Chordata; Mammalia; Carnivora; Canidae.